UUUCCUUCCCCCUACAGAAGCCUUGUAUGCCAGUCCGCUUCCCGCGGGCGACACUUGUCUGUUGCUGGAAAUCGUUCCCCCUGGAAGAAACCAGCAGUUAUUGGCGGAUGCCGGUAAUUCACAGAUCAAAUCAAGUGGUCCGGCGGGGUGAGAGCUUUUUCGCCCCCGGAUUAAGAUAUGAUCGCACUGCACAGCUGACGCCUUGCAAUCCUGGUUCCGUAGGUGAGCCUGCGGAAGGAUCAUUAACGAGUUAGGGGCCUCGCCCCGAACCUCCAACCCAAUGCGAACCUUACCACCGUUGCUUUGGCGGGCCCGCGGGUCCAACCGCCGCCGGCCUUGCCGGCGAGUGCCCGCCAGAGUCCAUCCAAAUUCGUUUGAUCGGUGUCGUCUGAGAAAAUAUUUAAUAGCAAAAAACUUUCAACAACGGAUCUCUUGGUUCUG
Molecule: unclassified non-coding RNA, 441 nt
Filed under: plant metagenome
Description: partial contains small subunit ribosomal RNA, internal transcribed spacer 1, and 5.8S ribosomal RNA
Source: RNAcentral